CCUACGGGAGGCAGCAGUGGGGAAUUUUGGACAAUGGGCGAAAGCCUGAUCCAGCCAUUCCGCGUGAGUGAAGAAGGCCUUCGGGUUGUAAAGCUCUUUCGCAAGGGAAGAAAACUUAGUCUCUAACAUAGACUGAGGUUGACGGUACCUUGAUAAGAAGCACCGGCUAACUACGUGCCAGCAGCCGCGGUAAUACGUAGGGUGCGAGCGUUAAUCGGAAUUACUGGGCGUAAAGCGUGCGCAGGCGGUUUUGUAAGUCAGAUGUGAAAUCCCCGAGCUCAACUUGGGAACUGCGUUUGAAACUACAAGACUAGAAUAUGUCAGAGGGGGGUAGAAUUCCACGUGUAGCAGUGAAAUGCGUAGAGAUGUGGAGGAAUACCAAUGGCGAAGGCAGCCCCCUGGGAUAAUAUUGACGCUCAUGCACGAAAGCGUGGGGAGCAAACAGGAUUAGAUACCCUGGUAGUCCACGCCCUAAACGAUGUCUACUAGUUGUUGGUGGAGUAAAAUCCAUGAGUAACCGNAGCUAACGCGUGAAGUACGACCGCCGNGGGAGGUACGGUCGGUCGAGAAGUUAAACGUUAAAGUUAAGUUAAGUUAGUUACGGCGUUGAGACGUUAGCCGACGGACGACGACGAGGGAGGAGGAG
RNAcentral lists this ribosomal RNA (646 nucleotides) under uncultured bacterium. RNAcentral describes it as "bacterial SSU rRNA". The stretch from base 1 to 546 matches the Rfam family "Bacterial small subunit ribosomal RNA", at positions 338 to 873 of the family's 1533-position model. The record is from RNAcentral.